AUACGGAGGAUGCAAGCGUUAUCCGGAUUUAUUGGGUUUAAAGGGUGCGUAGGCGGAUGAUUAAGCGUGAGGUGAAAUGCCACUGCUCAACAGUGGAACUGCCUCGCGAACUGGUUGUCUUGAAUGCUCCUGCCGUGGGAGGAAUGUGUGGUGUAGCGGUGAAAUGCAUAGAGAUCACACAGAACACCGAUUGCGAAGGCAUCUCACGAAGGGGUGAUUGACGCUGAGGCACGAAAGCGUGGAGAUCAAACAGGAGUAGAUUCCCUGGUAGUCCACGCAGUAAACGAUGAUAUCUAACCGCUGGGUCGUAGUGAUUCAGUGGCCAAGCGAAAGCGAUAAGUUAUCCACCUGGGGAGUACGACCGCAAGGUUGAAACUCAAAGGAAUUGGCGGGG
Molecule: ribosomal RNA, 394 nt
Filed under: uncultured bacterium
Lineage: Bacteria
Description: partial 16S ribosomal RNA
Rfam family: Bacterial small subunit ribosomal RNA
Source: RNAcentral